This 864-nucleotide ribosomal RNA is filed under the name uncultured bacterium. RNAcentral's name for it is "bacterial SSU rRNA". It matches the Rfam family "Bacterial small subunit ribosomal RNA", at positions 38 to 896 of the family's 1533-position model. The record is from RNAcentral.
GGCGGAAUGCUUUACACAUGCAAGUCGAACGGCAGCACGGACUUCGGUCUGGUGGCGAGUGGCGAACGGGUGAGUAAUAUAUCGGAACGUAUCCAAUAAUGGGGGAUAACUAAUCGAAAGGUUGGCUAAUACCGCAUACGCCCUACGGGGGAAAGCUAGGGAUCUUCGGACCUGGCGUUAAUGGAGCGGCCGAUAUCUGAUUAGCUAGUUGGUGGGGUAAAGGCCCACCAAGGCGACGAUCAGUAGCUGGUCUGAGAGGACGACCAGCCACACUGGAACUGAGACACGGUCCAGACUCCUACGGGAGGCAGCAGUGGGGAAUUUUGGACAAUGGGCGCAAGCCUGAUCCAGCCAUUCCGCGUGAGUGAAGAAGGCCUUCGGGUUGUAAAGCUCUUUCGCAAGGGAAGAAAACUUAUUCUCUAACAUAGGAUGAGGUUGACGGUACCUUGAUAAGAAGCACCGGCUAACUACGUGCCAGCAGCCGCGGUAAUACGUAGGGUGCGAGCGUUAAUCGGAAUUACUGGGCGUAAAGCGUGCGCAGGCGGUUUUGUAAGUCAGAUGUGAAAUCCCCGAGCUCAACUUGGGAACUGCGUUUGAAACUAUAAGACUAGAAUAUGUCAGAGGGGGGUAGAAUUCCACGUGUAGCAGUGAAAUGCGUAGAGAUGUGGAGGAAUACCAAUGGCGAAGGCAGCCCCCUGGGAUAAUAUUGACGCUCAUGCACGAAAGCGUGGGGAGCAAACAGGAUUAGAUACCCUGGUAGUCCACGCCCUAAACGAUGUCUACUAGUUGUUGGUGGAGUAAAAUCCAUGAGUAACGCAGCUAACGCGUGAAGUAGACCGCCUGGGGAGUACGGUCGCAAGAUUA